This 464-nucleotide ribosomal RNA is filed under the name uncultured bacterium. Its description in RNAcentral is "partial 16S ribosomal RNA". It matches the Rfam family "Bacterial small subunit ribosomal RNA", at positions 28 to 507 of the family's 1533-position model. The record is from RNAcentral.
GACGAACGCUGGCGGCGUGCUUAACACAUGCAAGUCGAACGGAAAGGCCCUGCUUGCAGGGUACUCGAGUGGCGAACGGGUGAGUAACACGUGGGUGUUCUGCCCUGCACUUCGGGAUAUGCCUUGGAAACUGGGUCUAUUACCGGAUAGGAGCCAUUUUUCGUGUGAUGGUUGGAUAGUUUUUUUGGUGUGGGAUGAGCUCGCGGCCUAUCAGUUUGUUGGUGGGGUAAUGGCUUACCAAGGCGGCGACGGGUGGCGGGCCUGCGAGGGUGGCGGGCCAAAUUGGGACUGGGAUAGGGCCCAGCCCCCAAGGGGAGGAAGAGGGGGGAAAUAUUGCAAAAUGGGGGGAAGCCUGAUGAAGGAAGGCGGCGGGGGGAUGACGGCCUUCGGGUUGUAAACUCCUUUCGCUAUGGACGAAGCUGUGUGUGACGGUACCGAGAUAAGAAGCACCGGCUAACUACGUG